This 27-nucleotide non-coding RNA is filed under the name Mus musculus (house mouse). The record is from RNAcentral. Lineage: Eukaryota; Metazoa; Chordata; Mammalia; Rodentia; Muridae.
UAGAAUCACAGCUCUUGUCCAGACAAA